UCUCCCCCUCAUUUUCGAUCUCUCUCUCCCUCUCUCCUUCUCACUUUCUUUUCUCUCUCUACCACCAUUGAUGGUCGUUACCAAGCUCCAAGAAUCAUUCUCAUACUUAGAUCUAUCCUAAAUCAAGUUCUAAACAUCCAUUUCCUUUUAAUCAAGCCAAGAUUUGAAGAGUUUCUCAAGGUUGAAGUCAAAGAAAGAUUUUUAUUAUUUCCAAAUCCUUGAAUACGAGCAGAGGAUUGAAGUAAGAUCGCCCAAAUACUACGAGAGUAAGCUAAGUUUAUCAGAGGUGACUGUGAGCCAUCUAUCGAGUCGGCCGGUCACGGUACUUGAGAGGGAGGCCUACUUCUCAGUACCUUUGAUGAUGAGUAGUGGAUGUGGUACAUACAUAAUGAAUGUUUAAACUGCGCAGUUACUUUAUUAUGAUGUUAUGAUUUGCGAAAUUGCAUGCACAGGUUCUUCUCUAACUAAAACCCAUGUGUGUUGCUUAAUGUGGCAAGUUCAAUUUAUAGCUCUAAGAGCAAGCUUUCUUUUGUUUUUCGGCAUAUGUACAUGAAGGAAUAUUAAAUUGAAUUAACGUUUCGUUUGCCCGAUGAUCGUUUCUUGGAUUAUUAUUAAUUCAUCAUACAACGAUUAAUCCUAACAUGCUCCUAUGAAUUAACAGCUGCACACAGGUGUUAGGAUUUACUUAAUUGUGAAUCGGAUGCACAGAUGAUUGAUGAUCGUAUCGAACAACUCCAGUUCUGAUCUUCUAGACUGUAUCCCGCUCUAGUCUCACCGUUGGAUGGACAACGAACUGUGAGAAAACCCAAGCCAGAAAGUUUCCCACGUUUUCUGCGCCUCUCUCAGUUCUCAAACCCUAAAUAAUUAUCAGUGUAUGUUUUCUGAGAGCUGACAGUUGUAUUUAAUAAUACAGAAAAAGGGAGGAGGCGCCAGUUUUAGGGUAGGGCACCAUUUCUCGCUCUUUCUGGGCUAGGAGACUUUGGGCCAGUCCAGGGACCAAAUACAAGGAAUAAAGAUGGGCCUCAAAUAAAUUAAUUUAUCUAUGGUUAGCCCAGACCAUAAUUAAUUUAUAAAUAUUAGUUCAUUCCACUAGAGAACCAAUAUUGACUUACCCCUUUAUUACCGGUGAUGAGUCGGGGCUUGUAUUUAGACUUAUUAAAUCCUCGUAUUUAAAAUAUCUGACAUCCAUUAAUUAAUUAGAGCUCUGACAGCCUAAAUUAAUUAAUCUCUUUGUAAUCCUUAAGCAGUACCACUCAAACCUUAUUAUUGCGCCUGAACUUAAUCAACCUGCAGGGUUUAGCGCAAUAAAUAUUAUUGAGCUCCUUAAGGGGAUGUCAUUAUCCUAUACGGAUACGAGUACCAAUACAGAUAAUCAGAUAUCAUAUA
This is a long non-coding RNA of Salvia miltiorrhiza (redroot sage), 1386 nucleotides long. RefSeq lists it as uncharacterized. Lineage: Eukaryota; Viridiplantae; Streptophyta; Magnoliopsida; Lamiales; Lamiaceae. The transcript has 3 exons. The record is from RefSeq and is a predicted model, not a curated record.